AGUGAACGCUGGCGGUAGGCCUAACACAUGCAAGUCGAACGGCAGCACAGUAAGAGCUUGCUCUUACGGGUGGCGAGUGGCGGACGGGUGAGGAAUACAUCGGAAUCUACUUUUUCGUGGGGGAUAACGUAGGGAAACUUACGCUAAUACCGCAUACGACCUACGGGUGAAAGCAGGGGAUCUUCGGACCUUGCGCGAUUGAAUGAGCCGAUGUCGGAUUAGCUAGUUGGCGGGGUAAAGGCCCACCAAGGCGACGAUCCGUAGCUGGUCUGAGAGGAUGAUCGGCCACACUGGAACUGGGACACGGUCCAGACCCCUACGGGAGGCAGCAGUGGGGAAUAUUGGACAAGGGGCGCAAGCCUGAUCCAGCCAGACCGCGUGGGUGAAGAAGGCCUCCGGGUUGUAAAGCCCUUUUGUUGGGAAAGAAAAGCAGCAGGUUAAUACCCCGCUGUUCUGACGGUACCCAAAGAAUAAGCACCGGCAAACUUCGU
Molecule: ribosomal RNA, 491 nt
Filed under: uncultured bacterium
Lineage: Bacteria
Description: partial 16S ribosomal RNA
Rfam family: Bacterial small subunit ribosomal RNA
Source: RNAcentral